This is a long non-coding RNA of Astatotilapia calliptera (eastern happy), 1388 nucleotides long. The record is from Ensembl. NCBI's taxonomy places the organism in Eukaryota, Metazoa, Chordata, Actinopteri, Cichliformes, Cichlidae.
AAAUAGGUUGCUCUAAAUGCAGUACAUGCGCAUUUAAGAGCUUUUGCAGAAGCUGAAAACUGUACUGAAAGCAUAGUUGGCUUGCUUGAAGAAAAAAAAAGUUGGAGAGGUCAAGGGUCAUAAAAGUUUGAAGCCUAGCCAGAGUAGUGUUUAAUAGCAGUAUUAUUACAGCGUCCCUGAAAUGUCACCCUUUAUUCACUUCAAGCAUUAAGUGCCUGACAAGCAUGGUGUGAUUUCUUAUCAAAACGAUGUUAAAGUAGGCCUACAACAUUUUUUUUUUUUUGGGGGGGGGACGACACAAUUAGAUAUGAAACUCCAGUCAUGUAUUUCACUUGAAAAAACUGAUUAGAGGCAGUAUUCUUGUAAAUAUAGGUCAAUUCAUUUCAACAAGUUUUUUCCUUCAUACAAAGUAUAUGUGAUUAAGAAAAAUCUGUGGUUGCCAUUUUUUUUUCCUUCUCGGUAAUACAACGUCUUCAAAAUUGAGUGGCAGACUUAGCUAGUAGCACUGAAGGUUAUGUUUUUAAUGUAUAUACAUAUUACUACAAAUGUUUUCUUUUUCAUGUAUAUUUAGACUGUGAAUGCAUGGCCACAGGUCGCUAACCUAUUUUACCUUUGAUAUAUAAAUGUAAAUGUUUUUUCUCUCUUUCUUUCACUCUUUUUUUGGACUGUAUAGAUAUAAUCUGUGCAUUCAGUACACUAGCCCUUGUAUUUAAAGCAACAGAAAAAGAAAAAGAAAAGAAACGACGUUCAUUAUUAGGCUACAGACUUAAACAGGGUGAGCAGGUUUGGGGACAAAAAAAUUUAGAAAAAACCUAAAAAAAAAAAAAAAAAAAAAAAAAAAAGGAGCUGAUAUUUUAACUUUAGUGUUAUGGCUCCUUUUGGUCUCUGACAGGUGCCGUGGUGUGCAUGCGCGUGUGCGAGAACGUGUGUGUGCGUGCGUGCGCGUGUGUGUGCGUUUGGAAGCUAGCAAUUUUGUCCUUGUUUUGAGGCUUUUCUUCAACACACACAUACAAAAAAAACACAAAAAAAACACCAUGUUGUGGUUGAAUUAAAAGGGAUCACUGAUUGAACACUGAUCUUUGGCUGUUCGGAGCCACAUAUGGACCAGAGAAUGAUACAUGAUUGUAAUUAUGAACAGUUUAAACUGACCCACGUUUUUAUAUAAAUAUAUAAAAAUAUAUGACUGCAGGGUAUUGAUAACGUAUAGAUACUUUUUUUUAUCAUUAUUAUUAUUAUUAUUAUUAUUAAUUGCAAGUGAUAUAUGUGAGUGUGUGUGAAAGUUUAUAGUUGAACACAAUUCUUGUUUGUUUGUGUUAGCUUAUUGUAAACAAGCAUUCUGCUGUAAAUUUGUUCUUGGUAUUAAAUUAUAAUUUAUGAAUUUGAAAACA